This 73-nucleotide transfer RNA is filed under the name Salmo salar (Atlantic salmon). It matches the Rfam family "tRNA". Rfam says of the family: Transfer RNA (tRNA) molecules are approximately 80 nucleotides in length. Lineage: Eukaryota; Metazoa; Chordata; Actinopteri; Salmoniformes; Salmonidae. The record is from Rfam by way of RNAcentral.
UCCCGUGUGGCUCGGUUGGUAGAGCAUGGUGUUUGCAACGCCAGGGUUGUGGGUUCGAUUCCCACGGGGGGGG